RNAcentral lists this ribosomal RNA (587 nucleotides) under Phyllymenia phuquocensis. RNAcentral's name for it is "Grateloupia phuquocensis eukaryotic LSU rRNA". It matches the Rfam family "Eukaryotic large subunit ribosomal RNA", at positions 1296 to 1880 of the family's 3401-position model. The record is from RNAcentral. Lineage: Eukaryota; Rhodophyta; Florideophyceae; Halymeniales; Halymeniaceae.
GCCGAAUGAAUCAGCCCUGAAAAUGGAUGGCGCUUAAGCGGGCGACCGACACCAUGCCGUCUGUAUAAGAGUAAAUUUUACAGAUGAGUAGGAGGACGUGGCGGUUGUGUCGAAGCAUGCGUGCGAACGCGUGUGGAACGGCCGCUAGUGCAGAUCUUGGUGGUAGUAGCAAAUAUUCAAGCGAGAUCCUUGAAGGGCGAAGCGGGGAAGGGUUCCACGCAAACAUUGAUUGGGCGUGGGUGAGUCGUUCCUAAGCCGAGUGGCAAUUGCUAAGUAGCGGCGAAAGGGAAGCAGGUUGACAUUCCUGCACACGGAUGUGGAGGCGGUGACGCUUUAAUGAGGGCGAAGACGCUGGCGAUGGCGCUGGGCAGAGAUUUCUUUUCUGUUUAACCGCUGAAGCGCGCGGUGUGGAAUCCGCUUGUCGGGAGAAACACGCUCGUUCGGGCAGAGCGCCGGGGCUAUUCCGGCGUCCAGCUCGCCAUCGACGGCCCUUGAAAAUUUGCCUGCUGGAAUAGUUUUUUUUAUAUUCUAUGAAGAUCCACGCCGUGGCGUACCGAUAACCGCAUCAGGUCCCCAAGGUGAACAGC